CGCAUACGUCCUACGGGAGAAAGCAGGGGAUCUUCGGACCUUGCGCUAUCGGAUGAGCCUAUGUCGGAUUAGCUUGUUGGUGAGGUAAUGGCUCACCAAGGCGACGAUCCGUAGCUGGUCUGAGAGGAUGAUCAGCCACAUCGGGACUGAGACACGGCCCGAACUCCUACGGGAGGCAGCAGUGGGGAAUAUUGGACAAUGGGCGAAAGCCUGAUCCAGCCAUGCCGCGUGUGUGAAGAAGGCUUUCGGGUUGUAAAGCACUUUCAGUGAGGAAGAACGCCUUCGGCUUAAUACGCCGGAGGAAAGACAUCACUCACAGAAGAAGCACCGGCUAACUCCGUGCCAGCAGCCGCGGUAAUACGGAGGGUGCGAGCGUUAAUCGGAAUUACUGGGCGUAAAGCGCGCGUAGGUGGCUUGAUAAGCCGGUUGUGAAAGCCCCGGGCUCAACCUGGGAACGGCAUCCGGAACUGUCAGGCUAGAGUGCA
Molecule: ribosomal RNA, 485 nt
Filed under: Halomonas sp. AY-18
Lineage: Bacteria; Pseudomonadati; Pseudomonadota; Gammaproteobacteria; Oceanospirillales; Halomonadaceae
Description: bacterial SSU rRNA
Rfam family: Bacterial small subunit ribosomal RNA
Source: RNAcentral